CUUCGAUGUUGACUCAUCACAUCCUAGGGUUGAAGAGGGUCUCAAGGGUCCAGUUGUUCGCCGAUGAAAGUAGAGUCAGGUUUAGAAUCUCGUGAGACAGUUU
Molecule: non-coding RNA, 103 nt
Filed under: Triticum aestivum (bread wheat)
Lineage: Eukaryota; Viridiplantae; Streptophyta; Magnoliopsida; Poales; Poaceae
Source: Rfam by way of RNAcentral